Equus caballus (horse) is the source of this 5603-nucleotide long non-coding RNA. The record is from Ensembl. NCBI's taxonomy places the organism in Eukaryota, Metazoa, Chordata, Mammalia, Perissodactyla, Equidae.
GAAAAUAAUCUCAUUUUCUACUCCCUGUUAGGAUCUCCCCUUUGGCCCAGCUUAAAUAUAUGUCUGUUAAAAUAAACUUCCUGUGGCCACAGCCUAGAGUAUUUACAGAUGAUAUAAUUUGGUCAUCGAUUUGUACUUUCUUUCAAGAAAAUUCAUCAGAAACUACCAAGGGAAAUUCUUGGUUAUUUUCUGUGGUCACCAGCUUUCUGCUACCAACUUAUUUCCUUCACAUCAACAAAACAAAUCUAUCAUUGUGGCAUUCUUAGCCCCAGGGCUUUCGACAGUUUCUUCAUGUUGUGUGAUCUGAAAUACGUACCAGUUAUUUUGUGAAAUGCAGAGAGACAUAAAUUACCAAAUCAGUAGGAGUUAUUCUCCAUCUAGCUACUUUAUACAUUUUUUCCAGUGAGCUCGUUAUAUAAUCUACAUGAAGAUGUGAUUAAUAUGAUUCUGAAACAAAGAGUGAGAACAAGGCAGAGAUCAUGGGAGUGGACAAGGGAGAAGAUACAAACAUGUGCGUGAACCCAAGAAUCAGGUCUCUCUGCUACCUAUCCUGCACUGCUUGCACAGCUGGAUGUGCUGAAUUGGUGAGCCAACGAAGAGACAGAGGAAAAAAUCCAUGAGUGCUGAGACUAUGGGCAAUAGGAAGGGAAAAUCCAUGGGGGAAAUGCUAAGUUGGCCAGUGUCCUCAAUAUUUGGGAAUGUCGCCACCAGGCCAGUGUCCCUGAUAUGGGUGCCAGUUGCUGCCAUCCUACAUGGAUGGAGCCCAUUGUGUGGGUACCGGGAUGCCCCCAAAAUGCCCAAGGGCCUAGGGAAAGUUGCUACAGCCAUAGGGUGGCCCCUUCUCACAGUGGGACCGCUCACAACAGAAGCUGAGAUGGAAGCAACAGCAAAAGUGAGGCAGUUGCAGAAGGAAGUAAUCACUCUUGGAGGAGCACAAGCUGAAUGGCCAGCACAGCGUGAGACAACACAUCCUGCCCACACCAGGCCCACCGCCAUCGGGAGCCGCUGGAGCACCACCACCUCGUGGCUGCUGCCAGCAACUUGGUUGCUCCUGAUCCUGGCCUUGUUUGCUACCCACCUUGAGGGCCCCAAGCAGCUGCCAUGACUGAUAAGCGUCCCAGGGUGGCUUUUGCAUCUCUGGGAUACUGAAGCGGAAGGUAUUUGGCUGUCAGGGGUGGAGAUGAGCAAAAUUGAGCGGUCUCCCUCUCGACUUGGUUAAUGGCUGCCUGCAAAGGGGCGUGGCUUAAUGAGGGGGACACACCUAUGCCUGCCCUCCCGUGGCAAACCAUGGAAAAAUUACGGGAUUUGUUAAGGAAACUAGACAUAAGACAUGCAGUUUAUUCCAACCAUUACCGAAGACGAACUGUUCACUGCAGGCAAAAGACACCAUGUUACAGACGGCUCUGAAUCAACAAAAUGGGCUUUGGUAUCUCUCUCUUAAGCCCCUUCGUAGGUCACCUCGUGUCCUGGCAGGCCCAAGCCGCUGCUGACCUUGGGGAGACAGAUAGGGUCAGGCAGAAGAGAGAGUGGGCCUCCAGGAGAAAGAGACAGCAAAGGGGCCAAAACCAGUAAGGGCCCCGUCAAAGUAACGCGUAGACAGAUGUGGCAUGACCUGGUGGUAGCAGGCACCCCUCUAGAAAAAAACUGAUAAACAACCAAACGCUGUUCUGGUGGCUUUGAAUCUGGAGCCAAAACAAAGAUUCACAAGACCACCCAGAGUGUCCCAAACCAACAGCAGCACGCCCCCGCCCCCAAGAGCCUGGAUGGGAACACCCUAGUACCUUCAACUAGAGGGCAGGCCAAGGGACCUCCCCUUCCCACAACUCACUCCUGCAGUGUUGCGCAGGUGGUUUGGGUAUUGGGGGACUGGAGGCUACAUAUGGUGAUAACAAUUUAUUGGUCUACUAAGAAUAAACAGACAUCUUAGCAUUAGUAGAUACAGGAGCAGAAUGCACACUGAUUCAUGAAAAUCCAUCUUGUUUGAAGGCCCUAUUUCUGUCAUAGAUGGUUGCGAUGGGGACACAGUCAAGGUGAAACUGGUGCCACUAGCGCUGCAGAUAUGGCAUCUCCUGCCAAAACAGCAUAUGGUCUAUAUUGACCCUGUACCUGAAUAUAUCCUAGGUGUGGUUGUCCUCACUGGUCUGACCCUACAGAUUAGUGCUGGAGAAUUCCACUUUUGGGUCUGCCUGGUAAAAUCUGUGACAAAAGGAUAUGCCAAAUGGACUCUGGUUAAAUUGCCCCAACCACAUCAUGUGGUGGCGCUAAGACAAUAUUGCCUCUGGGGGAGACAUUAUGAAAUCAUUGUACAAGAAUUGGUGAAAGUAGGAAUUACUAGACCCACACAUAGCCCAUUUAAGAGGCCAGAGUGGUCCGUCCAGAAGCCAAAUGGUUCCUGGCGAAUGACUGUGGACUAUCAAGAAUUGAACAAAGUGACACUGCCUAUGUAUGCUGCCGUCCCCAAUAUAGCCUCCCUCUUAGAACCAACAGGGGACACUUUGGAGUGAAUCAUUUUGUUCUGGACCUUGCUAAUGCCAUUUUCAGUAUCCCCUUGGAUGAAGGACGUUGAGACCAGUUUGCCUUUACCUGGCAGGGCACACAAUGGACUUUCACUGUUCUGCCUCAAGGAUAUCCCCACAGUCCCACCAUUUGUCAUGGUCUUGUGGCCUGCUGUUGCCUUCUUCCCUUAUAUUGAUGAUGUCAUGUUAACCUCUGAGUCUUUUUUGGACCUGCAGGAAACCUCCCACUCCCUCGUCAUCCGCCUAUACCAACGAGGAUGGGUGGUGAAUGACAACAAAUGACAAGGGCCUGGGUUAUCUGUCAAAUAAUUGGGUGUUGUCUGGUCAGGUAAGACAAAAGUGGUGCCUUAUAGAUAAGAUACAGGCUUUCUGUACACCCAACACCACGAAACAACUAUAGACCUUUCUGGGCUUAUUGGGUUACCGGCACCCUUUCACUCCUCAUGUGGCCCAGCUACUGCGUUCUCUUUAAAGUUGGUGUGAAAGGGAGUUAUCUGGCACUGGGGGACCAUUGAGUAGGAGGCAUUCACCCAAGCCAAUAUAGCAGUAAAACAAAUUCGGUCCUUGGGUGUUUUGAACACAGAGACAAUCAUGUGAAUUGGAUGUUCUCAGUUACCCAGAGGGCUUCAGAUGGAGUCUCUGGCAGAGGUAAGGCAAUAAACAAGCUCCUCUUGGCUUCUGGUCCCAAUUGUGGAAAGGGGCUUAAAGAUGAUAUAGUGUCCUGGAGCAACAAUUAUGUGCUGCUUACUUGGCCCUCCAACAAGUGGAGCCCAUAACCUGUUCCCUGCCAGUCACAGUCUGUACCCAUCUGCCCAUUGCAGGGUGGCUGUGGGACACUUUCCAAAAGCCCCACUCGGGAACAGCCCAAACAGAGACACUGACAAAGUGGCAUGCAGACUUACAACAAUGAGGGACCCUUACUAAUAGGUACCUAAGCAGAAUUGCAUCCCAUCCCAGGACCAGUAACAUAUACCACAGAAGAAACAAUGCCGUUGGAUGAGGUGCCCAUGCCUGAAACUCUGCCAAAUGUACAGGAAGCAGGAGGAUCCAUCCCGGCAGAGCCUGGUAUACAGAUGGCUCCACAAGGGGCAAUCCCCUCCUCCACGGUGGAUGGCAGUGGCCACCCAGACUUUGACCAAUAGCAUGUGGUUGGAUUCUGGAUCCGGGUACAGUAAUCAAUGGGCUGAAUUGUAGUCCACCUGGAUGGUGCUGCCUUGAGAGCUCAAUCCAAUACAUCUGUGUAUGGACAGUUGGGCAGUCUAUAAGGGGGUCACCCUGUGGAUGGCCCAAUGCAUGACAAAAGUGGACUAUUAACAGUCACCCAUUGUUGGUGGCAGAGCUCUGGGAUGACAUCUGGCAGCAGAUGCAGGGAAUGACAAUAACAGUAUAUCACAUUUCUGCACAUCAGGCAACAAUGCUGCCAGGGAACCAACAAGCAGAUGAGUUAGCUCGGAUUCGUGUCCUGGAGGAAGUCCCAGCAGAGAGAUUGGCAGAAUGGUUACACAAGAAGGCUGGACAUAAAGGACAAAAGACUCUAUGGACUAUUGCCAAGGCCUGGGGUCUCCCCCUGUGCUAUGCUGACGUGGUGCAACUCUGCUAGGCGUACCCUUCUUCUUCCUUGCAGAGACCCCAGGCCAUUCCCCAGGAUGUAGGCCAAAUCACCAGAGGCAACCAACCCGCCCAAGGCUGGCAGGUGGAUUAUGGUGGACCCUCACCUCUCUCCAACGGCUGCUAGUAAGCAUAUCAGAUGUUGACACAAGAACUCGCUACAACACUACACCUACAGACAAGAGCUAAUCAAGGAGAGAAACUACAACCACAGAUGGGCACUCAGAACAACUUGCUUUUGCCUUUGCCACAGCCUUAGGGCAACAUCUGCCAACCUCUUCGCUGAUUGGGCGCACACCAUUGCUGACUUACAAAAUCGCUCCAACUGCUGGGUAUGCAGCAAGAUGCCUGUCUCUUCAACCACGGGGUUACCAUGGAAGAAAGUGUUCUUUGACGUUCUUGCCUUUUUGUCAUUGCUGUUAUUUUCUUGCUGUGCUCUCUAUUGCUGUUGUCGUGUAUGGUUACAGUGCUCCUCUAUGUGCCCGGCCCAAGGGACUCUAUGGAAAAAUGUCACAGUAAGAUUAUAAGGGCCAUUUGGACACAUGGGGGCAUGGAGUGUAGAACUUUUCUUGCUCAGUAAUAACCUAUGUGCCCUAUUGUAACCAUCUGUCUUCUUGGCCCCUCUCUGGGCAGGAUGCCAGCCCUCUGGGAAUUGUAACCAUCCAGGGCCUGGCCAACCUAGAUCUUAACGUAUCUUAAAGGACAACAUGUCUUGAAGGAACACAGAGCCCUUCCACGUGAGCUACUGGUCCUGGGAACACUAAUCAUACCAAGAACAGUCCCUCUUGGCAAGCACUUAGUCUUGUUCCCCUGACUAUGUAAGCAACCCCCUCUCUGCCCGUGGUAGCGGGUGUGCAACUCUGUCCAGCCAGUCACCCCUGGACACUCCCUGUAUGUAAGUCCCAAUAAAACCUAUAUAUCUCAUAUGCCAUCUCUGUGUCUUUUCUUCAGUCUCUCUGGACCUGUCCUGCAUUGCUUGUACAACUGGGCAUGUGGCCAGACAACAUGCCUCAUACCGAAACUAAGACACCAGCAAAGGGUGGAUGUGGUUCAGCAAACACAACCAAAACAAUAAUUUCAAAACAGGAAAUUUUGUAACACUUCUAAGCAAAGAGGUUAAAAUAAAAGACUGUUUUGGUGCUUAAAUGAACAAACCACAGGUAUCUUUCAAAAACAAUGUUUCUAAAAGGAUUUUCAGUAGAACAUUAUCCCAUUAAAAUAGAUCAUCUACUACAAAAGAAAAAAAAAAUCCAAUGGUUAAAUAUUUGGGAAGUGAUGUUGGAAUAGUUUGCAAAUUGUUCUAGUUUUGAUUGUGGAGUCUCAAAAAAUAAACUUAAUCCCUCAUUCAAAAAGUCACUCCAUGAAGAGAGUCAUUGCUUUCCUCCAAGUCACUUUUUUUCUUAUAAAAACAGUUCUACUUGAACUCUCUCUUGCUGUGAUUCGAUAGCUUUUUGUUUUAAUAAGCCAUCUGAAAACUCC